This 253-nucleotide ribosomal RNA is filed under the name uncultured bacterium. RNAcentral's name for it is "partial 16S ribosomal RNA". It matches the Rfam family "Bacterial small subunit ribosomal RNA", at positions 524 to 776 of the family's 1533-position model. The record is from RNAcentral.
UACGUAGGGGGCAAGCGUUGUCCGGAUUUAUUGGGCGUAAAGAGCGUGUAGGCGGCCUGACAGGUCUGCUGUGAAAACUCGAGGCUCGACCUCGAGAUGUCGGCGGAAACCAUCUGGCUAGAGUCCGGAAGAGGAGAGUGGAAUUCCUGGUGUAGCGGUGAAAUGCGCAGAUAUCAGGAAGAACACCUAUGGCGAAGGCAGCUCUCUGGGACGGUACUGACGCUGAGACGCGAAAGCGUGGGGAGCGAACAGG